CUGUCACUGCUUAUUAUAUAGAAAAUAAUUAGCAAUUAAAUAAAUGUAUUCUUGCUUUUCAUUCUUUUGAUUAUCUCCAUUUGGCCAAUAAAUUUUCAAUACUAUUUAUCAAACUGUAACUACAUAUGGUAUUGGUAAUAUAGCUGUCCAAUUAUUGAAGGACCCUUUUCAUCCCAUUCUUAAUGAGAAAUUAUUUCAUAUUGGAUGUGCAUAUUAUAUUUUGAAUCUUUCUGUUCAAGUUGGAAGAGACAUGGUUCAAAAUAUAAUUGCAAAAAUUAGAAAUGCAGUAUCUUUUAUUCA
Molecule: long non-coding RNA, 300 nt
Filed under: Elaeis guineensis (African oil palm)
Lineage: Eukaryota; Viridiplantae; Streptophyta; Magnoliopsida; Arecales; Arecaceae
Description: long non-coding RNA (EGUI_LNC016401)
Source: RNAcentral